CAGUCGAGCGGACAGAUGGGAGCUUGCUCCCUGAUGUUAGCGGCGGACGGGUGAGUAACACGUGGGUAACCUGCCUGUAAGACUGGGAUAACUCCGGGAAACCGGGGCUAAUACCGGAUGGUUGUUUGAACCGCAUGGUUCAAACAUAAAAGGUGGCUUCGGCUACCACUUACAGAUGGACCCGCGGCGCAUUAGCUAGUUGGUGAGGUAAUGGCUCACCAAGGCAACGAUGCGUAGCCGACCUGAGAGGGUGAUCGGCCACACUGGGACCGAGACACGGCCCAGACUCCUACGGGAGGCAGCAGUAGGGAAUCUUCCGCAAUGGACGAAAGUCUGACGGAGCAACGCCGCGUGAGUGAUGAAGGUUUUCGGAUCGUAAAGCUCUGUUGUUAGGGAAGAACAAGUACCGUUCGAAUAGGGCGGCACCUUGACGGUACCUAACCAGAAAGCCACGGCUAACUACGUGCCAGCAGCCGCGGUAAUACGUAGGUGGCAAGCGUUGUCCGGAAUUAUUGGGCGUAAAGGGCUCGCAGGCGGUUUCUUAAGUCUGAUGUGAAAGCCCCCGGCUCAACCGGGGAGGGUCAUUGGAAACUGGGGAACUUGAGUGCAGAAGAGGAGAGUGGAAUUCCACGUGUAGCGGUGAAAUGCGUAGAGAUGUGGAGGAACACCAGUGGCGAAGGCGACUCUCUGGUCUGUAACUGACGCUGAGGAGCGAAAGCGUGGGGAGCGAACAGGAUUAGAUACCCUGGUAGUCCACGCCGUAAACGAUGAGUGCUAAGUGUUAGGGGGUUUCCGCCCCUUAGUGCUGCAGCUAACGCAUUAAGCACUCCGCCUGGGGAGUACGGUCGCAAGACUGAAACUCAAAGGAAUUGACGGGGGCCCGCACAAGCGGUGGAGCAUGUGGUUUAAUUCGAAGCAACGCGAAGAACCUUACCAGGUCUUGACAUCCUCUGACAAUCCUAGAGAUAGGACGUCCCCUUCGGGGGCAGAGUGACAGGUGGUGCAUGGUUGUCGUCAGCUCGUGUCGUGAGAUGUUGGGUUAAGUCCCGCAACGAGCGCAACCCUUGAUCUUAGUUGCCAGCAUUCAGUUGGGCACUCUAAGGUGACUGCCGGUGACAAACCGGAGGAAGGUGGGGAUGACGUCAAAUCAUCAUGCCCCUUAUGACCUGGGCUACACACGUGCUACAAUGGACAGAACAAAGGGCAGCGAAACCGCGAGGUUAAGCCAAUCCC
This 1233-nucleotide ribosomal RNA is filed under the name Bacillus sp. (in: firmicutes). Its description in RNAcentral is "bacterial SSU rRNA". It matches the Rfam family "Bacterial small subunit ribosomal RNA", at positions 59 to 1275 of the family's 1533-position model. Lineage: Bacteria; Bacillati; Bacillota; Bacilli; Caryophanales; Bacillaceae. The record is from RNAcentral.